Molecule: ribosomal RNA, 580 nt
Filed under: Tetragenococcus halophilus
Lineage: Bacteria; Bacillati; Bacillota; Bacilli; Lactobacillales; Enterococcaceae
Description: bacterial SSU rRNA
Rfam family: Bacterial small subunit ribosomal RNA
Source: RNAcentral
CGUAAGCGAGCGCAGGCGGUGAUUUAAGUCUGAUGUGAAAGCCCCCAGCUCAACUGGGGAGGGUCAUUGGAAACUGGAUCACUUGAGUGCAGAAGAGGAGAGUGGAAUUCCAUGUGUAGCGGUGAAAUGCGUAGAUAUAUGGAGGAACACCAGUGGCGAAGGCGGCUCUCUGGUCUGUAACUGACGCUGAGGCUCGAAAGCGUGGGUAGCAAACAGGAUUAGAUACCCUGGUAGUCCACGCCGUAAACGAUGAGUGCUAAGUGUUGGAGGGUUUCCGCCCUUCAGUGCUGCAGUUAACGCAUUAAGCACUCCGCCUGGGGAGUACGACCGCAAGGUUGAAACUCAAAGGAAUUGACGGGGGCCCGCACAAGCGGUGGAGCAUGUGGUUUAAUUCGAAGCAACGCGAAGAACCUUACCAGGUCUUGACAUCCUUUGACCGCACCAGAGAUGGUGUUUCCCCUUCGGGGGCAAAGUGACAGGUGGUGCAUGGUUGUCGUCAGCUCGUGUCGUGAGAUGUUGGGUUAAGUCCCGUAACGAGCGCAACCCUUAUUGUUAGUUGCCAGCAUUCAGUUGGGGCACU